AGAGUUUGAUCCUGGCUCAGGAUGAACGCUGGCGGCGUGCCUAAUACAUGCAAGUCGAGCGAAUGGAUUAAGAGCUUGCUCUUAUGAAGUUAGCGGCGGACGGGUGAGUAACACGUGGGUAACCUGCCCAUAAGACUGGGAUAACUCCGGGAAACCGGGGCUAAUACCGGAUAACAUUUUGAACCGCAUGGUUCGAAAUUGAAAGGCGGCUUCGGCUGUCACUUAUGGAUGGACCCGCGUCGCAUUAGCUAGUUGGUGAGGUAACGGCUCACCAAGGCAACGAUGCGUAGCCGACCUGAGAGGGUGAUCGGCCACACUGGGACUGAGACACGGCCCAGACUCCUACGGGAGGCAGCAGUAGGGAAUCUUCCGCAAUGGACGAAAGUCUGACGGAGCAACGCCGCGUGAGUGAUGAAGGCUUUCGGGUCGUAAAACUCUGUUGUUAGGGAAGAACAAGUGCUAGUUGAAUAAGCUGGCACCUUGACGGUACCUAACCAGAAAGCCACGGCUAACUACGUGCCAGCAGCCGCGGUAAUACGUAGGUGGCAAGCGUUAUCCGGAAUUAUUGGGCGUAAAGCGCGCGCAGGUGGUUUCUUAAGUCUGAUGUGAAAGCCCACGGCUCAACCGUGGAGGGUCAUUGGAAACUGGGAGACUUGAGUGCAGAAGAGGAAAGUGGAAUUCCAUGUGUAGCGGUGAAAUGCGUAGAGAUAUGGAGGAACACCAGUGGCGAAGGCGACUUACCAUUGAGGGCGCGGAAAGCGUGGGGGAAGUCGAGCGAUGGAUUAAGAGCUUGCUCUUAUGAUAGUUAGCGGCGUUAACGACGGGUGAUAAGUGUUAGAGGGUUUCCCCCCUUUAUUGUGGAAGUUAACGCAUUAACCAUUCCACGUGGGUAACCUGCCCAUAAGACUGGGAUUCAAAGGAUUUGACGGGGGCCCGCCCAAGCGGUGGAGCAUGUGGUUUAAUUGGAAACUCCGGGAAGAACCUUACCGGGGCUUAAUACCUUUGGAUAACAUUUUGAACCGCAUGGUUCCUUGGGGAGCAAAUUGAAAGGCGGCUUACGGCUGUCGUCAACUUAUGUCGUGAGAUGUUGGGUUAAGUCCCGCGUCGAGCGCAACCCUUGAUUUUAGUUGCCAUUAGCUAGUUGGGCACUUUGAGGUGACUGCUGGUGACAAACCGGAGGAAGGUGGGGAUGACGUCAAGUCAUCGAUGCGUAUUACGACCUGGGCUACACACGUGUUACAAUGGAGGGUACAAAGAUCGGCCACACUGGGAGGCUGAGACAUUUUCAUAAAACCGUUUUCAGUUCGGAUUGUAGGCUGCAAUUCGCCUACAUGAGGCUGGAAUCGUUAGUAAUCGGGGAUCAGCAUGCCGCGGUGAAUACGUUCCCGGGCCUUGUACACACCGCCCGUCACACCACGAGAGUUUGUAACACCGGAAGUCGGUGGGGUAACUUUUUGAGCCAGCUUCCUAAGGUGGGACAGAUGAUUGGGGUGAAGUCGUAACAAGGU
This 1508-nucleotide ribosomal RNA is filed under the name Bacillus paramycoides. Its description in RNAcentral is "bacterial SSU rRNA". It matches the Rfam family "Bacterial small subunit ribosomal RNA". The record is from RNAcentral. Lineage: Bacteria; Bacillati; Bacillota; Bacilli; Caryophanales; Bacillaceae.